Long non-coding RNA from Monodelphis domestica (gray short-tailed opossum), 1399 nucleotides. RefSeq lists it as uncharacterized. NCBI's taxonomy places the organism in Eukaryota, Metazoa, Chordata, Mammalia, Didelphimorphia, Didelphidae. The record is from RefSeq and is a predicted model, not a curated record.
UUGGAUAAUAUGCUGAGCCUUAAGUUAGGUCCAUCAAAUCCAGUCUGAAGUAUUGACUAGCUGUGAGUUUCUGAGCAAGUCGUUUAAACCUCUGUCUGCCUCAGUUUCCUUAUCUUAAAAAAAGGGGGCAAUAAUAAUGAUAUUAACCUCCAAGGGUUGCUGUGAAAAUCAAAUGAGCUAAUAUUUAAAAAGCCCUUAACACAAUGCCUGGCACAUAGUAGGUGCUUAAUAAAUUCCUGCUUCCCUUAUCACUCCUUUGUAUUUGAUUGUCAGAGCCCAGAACUGUAUCACUUCCCUUUCAGUCUCAGGAAUGGCAGGAGUGAGGGAGCAACAAGGGUGUGGAAAGUUAAAGUAUAAAAAAAUGUAAGGACUGAUUUUGUAAAUAAAUGGAACUCUCACUGAACUUUAAUAAAAAAGAAAAAAAGAGAAGGAAGGAAGGAAAGGCCCAGUGGGUGGGGGAGAAAAUGUGUCAACACAGGACAUUUAGAGGGACAGGAAGCCAAAAGCUGAAAUGAAAUAUGAGAAGGAGAAGUGUGUUUGUGUUCAUGUGUUACCAUGUGUGCAGAGGUCUGUUGGCGUUUCCCUGGACCUCUGUAUGUGCUUCUGGCUACAUUUUUCACUGUGUAAUUAUUUAGGAAAAAGGUCAUGUGUGGAUAUUGGCAUCUACCUUGAAAUCAUAAGGGAAAGGAGAUUAGAGACGUAGAUAUAAGCUCUGGAUCAUAGUGUUCAUUGCCAGGUUCCUACAUGGCUGGCUCUGAUAAGGUGUCUUGAAGUUGAUCAGAACUUCCUUGGGGGUGGGGAGGAGGUUAGAGACAAUGCUGAGAACUGGCGUGAGGAACAUAGCCAAUGGAGGGGAGAAAAAAAACACAAGGAAAGGUUAUAAUUUCCAAUCCAUUUUGCUUUUUUUCUGUAAAAUUGGGAGGAAAGUCAGGAAAGCAGAUUCCUUGGCAGAGACAAUAUGGAAAGACAAAGGUUCUGGGGCAGCUAGGUAGCACAGUGAUCAGAGCUUCAGACCUGGAGUCAGGAGGACCUGGGUUCAAAUUUGACCUCAGAUACUUCCUAGCUGUAUGACUCUGGGCAAGUCACUUGCCCCAAUUGCUUAGACCUUCCUGUUCAUUCUACCUUGAAGCUAAUAAGUGUAUCAACUCUAAGGCAGAAGGUACUGCACAGAUGAAUCUACAUGAAACCCUCCCUAACUUGCUGCUGAAAGUGAUUUAUCUUUCCUAGAAUUUCUGUUGCUGCUUUGGACCCCUCCUUCCUUCUUUAUCACAUUCAGUUUUGUGUUAAUUUUCAUCUUUUUUUUAUCUGUGUCUUAUCACAUUAAAUUAUAAGUUCUAUGAGGACAGGCAGUGUUUUUUUUUUUGCACCUAGUAAGCCUUAAUAAAUGUAUUAAAGUGAA